AGCAGCCGCGGUAAUUCCAGCUCCAAUAGCGUAUAUUAAAGUUGCUGCAGUUAAAAGCUCGUAGUUGAAUUUCGGGAUUGGCGCAUCGGUCGUGCCUCACGGGGUAUGAACUGGUGCAGUCAAUUUCUCACCUUCUGGAGAACCGCGAUGUCCUUAAUUGGAUGCCGCGGGGAACCAGGACCUUUACUUUGAAAAAUUAGAGUGUUUAAAGCAGGCAUUUUUGCUUGAAUACAUUAGCAUGGAAUAAUAAAAUAGGACGGCAUGGUUCUAUUUUGUUGGUUUCUAGGACCACCGUAAUGAUUAAUAGGGAUAGUUGGGGGCAUUAGUAUUCAAUUGUCAGAGGUGAAAUUCUUGGAUUUAUUGAAGACUAACUACUGCGAAAGCAUUUGCCAAGGAUGUUUUCAUUAAUCAAGAACGAAAGUUAGGGGAAUCGAAGACGAUCAGAUACCGUCGUAGUCUUAACCAUAAACUAUGUCCGACUAGGAAUCAGACGAUGUUAAUUUUUAAUGUACUUCGUUUG
Molecule: unclassified non-coding RNA, 520 nt
Filed under: uncultured Entrophospora
Lineage: Eukaryota; Fungi; Glomeromycota; Glomeromycetes; Entrophosporales; Entrophosporaceae
Description: SSU rRNA
Rfam family: Eukaryotic small subunit ribosomal RNA
Source: RNAcentral